GUGAUAGACAGUGAGAAGGAUCGCCGGAGUGAUAGAUUACGGGGUCACUAUGGCAACACAGUCUGGGAGAAGAGAGAUUCACCCCCAGAAGACUGGAAUAAAGAACUUCCAGAAUGGUUUGAAAAGGAAAGAGAGAUGUCUUUUCUAGCACUGAAAAGCAAAGAACUGAAGGAAGGCAAGGUAUCCAGUAAUUCUACAACAUCAACCUGCACCAUAUUAUGAUUUUAGGUAUUAAAAACGUAAUUACUAGAUCCUCGUUUUAUUUUGUAAAUAAAUUGAUAUUUGCAUAUAUUUCCAUACCUGUACAAAAAUAGAAAUAAAAGGUAAAUGAAAA
Long non-coding RNA from Penaeus indicus, 334 nucleotides. RefSeq lists it as uncharacterized. The transcript has 2 exons. The record is from RefSeq and is a predicted model, not a curated record. NCBI's taxonomy places the organism in Eukaryota, Metazoa, Arthropoda, Malacostraca, Decapoda, Penaeidae.